UUCCUUUGGUCCGUUUUCAUAACUAUGGUUUUCGUAACUGGCUGCCAAAGAAGAUUUAUUUUUCCUGUUUCAUAAUUAAUUAUCAAACAAGAAUUCACUUUCUGCUUUCGUAAUCGAGUAUUUUUUCUUCGUUCGUAAUUAAUUAUCAAAACUUAUUACUUUUUCUUUUUUCAUAAUUGGACAUUUUCGUUUAGUUGAAAACAAAAUAACUACCGGGCACUGCGUUGAGAUUAUUGCUCCAUUUAUGUAUUAGAUUAGACUAAGAAGAAUUAUUACGAAGUGAAAAUUAUAUUUUUUGUUAACGGAAGUUAGGUCAUAUUUUUCUUUUAUUUUACUGUUCCUAAGGGUACUCUGUUUUAACAAGCUUUUGUAUCUAUACAAAUCUAGAAAAUUAAAGUAGAUGAUUUACAAUA
Molecule: long non-coding RNA, 413 nt
Organism: Cydia fagiglandana
Lineage: Eukaryota; Metazoa; Arthropoda; Insecta; Lepidoptera; Tortricidae
Exons: 2
Source: RefSeq, a predicted model, not a curated record